Molecule: ribosomal RNA, 253 nt
Filed under: uncultured bacterium
Lineage: Bacteria
Description: partial 16S ribosomal RNA
Rfam family: Bacterial small subunit ribosomal RNA
Source: RNAcentral
UACGUAGGUGGCAAGCGUUGUCCGGAUUUACUGGGCGUAAAGAGCGCGCAGGCGGCCGAGUAAGUCGAAUGUGAAAGCCCCCGGCUCAACUGGGGAAGGUCAUUCGAUACUGUUCGGCUCGAAGAUAGGAGAGGGAAGCGGAAUUUCAGGUGUAGUGGUGAAAUGCGUAGAUAUCUGAAGGAACACCAGUGGCGAAGGCGGCUUUCUGGCCUAUUCUUGACGCUGAGGCGCGAAAGCUAGGGGAGCAAACGGG